RNAcentral lists this ribosomal RNA (484 nucleotides) under uncultured bacterium. RNAcentral describes it as "partial 16S ribosomal RNA". It matches the Rfam family "Bacterial small subunit ribosomal RNA", at positions 30 to 507 of the family's 1533-position model. The record is from RNAcentral.
AUUGAACGCUGGCGGCAGGCCUAACACAUGCAAGUCGAGCGGAUGAAGGGAGCUUGCUCCUGGAUUCAGCGGCGGACGGGUGAGUAAUGCCUAGGAAUCUGCCUGGUAGUGGGGGAUAACGUCCGGAAACGGGCGCUAAUACCGCAUACGUCCUGAGGGAGAAAGCGGGGGAUCUUCGGACCUCACGCUAUCAGAUGAGCCUAGGUCGGAUUAGCUAGUUGGUGGGGUAAAGGCCUACCAAGGCGACGAUCCGUAACUGGUCUGAGAGGAUGAUCAGUCACACUGGAACUGAGACACGGUCCAGACUCCUACGGGAGGCAGCAGUGGGGAAUAUUGGACAAUGGGCGAAAGCCUGAUCCAGCCAUGCCGCGUGUGUGAAGAAGGUCUUCGGAUUGUAAAGCACUUUGAGUUGGGAGGAGGGGCAGUAAGUUAAUACCUUGCUGUUUUGACGUUACCAACAGAAUAAGCACCGGCUAACUUCGUG